GUGCUUGCUUCAGCAGCACAUGUACUAAAAAUUGGAUAUAGAGAAGAUUAGCAUGGCCCCUGCGCAAGGAUGACACUCAAAUACAUAAAGCAUUCUAAAACGAA
Molecule: small nuclear RNA, 104 nt
Organism: Phodopus roborovskii (desert hamster)
Lineage: Eukaryota; Metazoa; Chordata; Mammalia; Rodentia; Cricetidae
Source: RefSeq, a predicted model, not a curated record